ACACUCCUACGGGAGGCAUCAGUGGGGAAUAUUGGACAAUGGGCGCAAGCCUGAUCCAGCCAUGCCGCGUGAGUGAUGAAGGCCCUAGGGUUGUAAAGCUCUUUCACCGGUGAAGAUAAUGACGGUAACCGGAGAAGAAGCCCCGGCUAACUUCGUGCCAGCAGCCGCGGUAAUACGAAGGGGGCUAGCGUUGUUCGGAUUUACUGGGCGUAAAGCGCACGUAGGCGGACUAUUAAGUCAGGGGUGAAAUCCCGGGGCUCAACCCCGGAACUGCCUUUGAUACUGGUAGUCUUGAGUUCGAGAGAGGUGAGUGGAAUUCCGAGUGUAGAGGUGAAAUUCGUAGAUAUUCGGAGGAACACCAGUGGCGAAGGCGGCUCACUGGCUCGAUACUGACGCUGAGGUGCGAAAGCGUGGGGAGCAAACAGGAUUAGAAACCCUAGUAGUCCCAUGAU
This 452-nucleotide ribosomal RNA is filed under the name uncultured organism. RNAcentral describes it as "partial 16S ribosomal RNA". It matches the Rfam family "Bacterial small subunit ribosomal RNA", at positions 333 to 801 of the family's 1533-position model. The record is from RNAcentral.